GGGACCCUGAGCUCAGAUGGGGUGUUGGUUGUGAUGGGACCCUGAGCUCAGAUGGGGUGUUGGUUAGGUUGGUUGUGAUGGGACCCUGAGCUCAGGUGGGGUGUUGGUUGGGUUGGUUGUGAUGGGACCCUGAACUCAGGUGGGGUGUUGGUUGGGUUGGUUGUGAUGGGACUCUGAGCUCAGGUGGGGUGUUGGUUAGGUUGGUUG
Molecule: long non-coding RNA, 207 nt
Filed under: Pan troglodytes (chimpanzee)
Lineage: Eukaryota; Metazoa; Chordata; Mammalia; Primates; Hominidae
Description: long non-coding RNA NONPTRT003740
Source: RNAcentral